GGGCCCGCACAAGCGGUGGAGUAUGUGGUUUAAUUCGAUGCAACGCGAAGAACCUUACCAGGGUUUGACAUCCUGCGAAUUUCUGGGAAACCGGAAAGUGCCUUCGGGAGCGCAGUGACAGGUGGUGCAUGGCUGUCGUCAGCUCGUGUCGUGAGAUGUUGGGUUAAGUCCCGCAACGAGCGCAACCCACGUCUUUAGUUGCCAGCAUUUAGUUGGGCACUCUAGAGAGACCGCCGGUGAUAAACCGGAGAAGGUGUGGAUGACGUCAAGUCAUCAUGGCCCUUACGGGUUGGGCUACACACGUGCUACAAUGGUAGUGACAUGGGUUAAUCCCCAAAAAGCUAUCUCAGUUCGGAUUGGUCGUCUGCA
Molecule: ribosomal RNA, 369 nt
Filed under: uncultured bacterium
Lineage: Bacteria
Description: bacterial SSU rRNA
Rfam family: Bacterial small subunit ribosomal RNA
Source: RNAcentral